Leptopilina boulardi is the source of this 551-nucleotide long non-coding RNA. RefSeq lists it as uncharacterized. The record is from RefSeq and is a predicted model, not a curated record. The transcript is spliced from 4 exons. Lineage: Eukaryota; Metazoa; Arthropoda; Insecta; Hymenoptera; Figitidae.
GAAAAGCGUUAGCUUUGAAACAAGCAAAUCAGCCUCAGUGGCGAGAUCAUCUUGUCGGCGUUAUAAUACCAGUUGAGUUAGAGUCAAAUUCAGAUUAUAGCUGGAAUCGAGAAAUUGAAAUUUUUUAAACACAAUGUUGAGCCAUUUGAAACUAUUUCGGCAAAAUGGAACGCGACAUAUGAUAUUAGAGAACGUGUAGGAAAAGAUUGGAACAUUCAUGAAAAAUUUUCUAAUUUCAAGGCUCUUUCUCAGCCUAGAGGUUAUUUGCUGCUAGAGCAUGACUUUUUUUUAAACAUCCUAUUGAACAGGAUAUUCUCUACAGUAAGUGGCCCACGAUUUCUUCCAAAAUAAUUGCUCUUAGCAAUUGUAGAAAGAAAGAAGCAAAAAUUAAGAAAUUCUUAAAAGAUCAUGAAAAUCUGUUGAAAACAGAUUGUCGAGAAAUUGUAUCUCUAUUUCUCAUACCAAUUUUACUUCGACCAAGUACAGCAAAAGUAAAAUGUAAUGGAAAACACUGGAAACCAAAAUUAGAGGAUUCACAAGAAACGUUCAUU